UACGUAGGGUGCAAGCGUUGUCCGGAAUUAUUGGGCGUAAAGAGCUCGUAGGCGGUGUGUCGCGUCGGCCGUGAAAACUUGCAGCUUAACUGUGGGCGUGCGGUCGAUACGGGCAUCACUGGAGUUCGGUAGGGGAGACUGGAAUUCCUGGUGUAGCGGUGAAAUGCGCAGAUAUCAGGAGGAACACCGACGGCGAAGGCAGCACUCUGGGCCGGUACUGACGCUGAGGAGCGAAAGCGUGGGGAGCAAACAGG
RNAcentral lists this ribosomal RNA (254 nucleotides) under uncultured bacterium. RNAcentral's name for it is "partial 16S ribosomal RNA". It matches the Rfam family "Bacterial small subunit ribosomal RNA", at positions 524 to 776 of the family's 1533-position model. The record is from RNAcentral.